Molecule: ribosomal RNA, 373 nt
Filed under: uncultured organism
Description: bacterial SSU rRNA
Rfam family: Bacterial small subunit ribosomal RNA
Source: RNAcentral
CAGAGGGUGCGAGCGUUGUUCGGAAUUACUGGGCGUAAAGCGCGCGCAGGCGGCCUUUUAAGUCUGACGGUGAAAUGCCGGGGCUCAACCCCGUGCCCGCCGGAGAUACUGGGCGGCUGGAGACGAGUAGAGGCAAGCGGAAUUCCGGGUGUAGCGGUGGAAUGCGUAGAGAUCCGGAAGAACACCGGAGGCGAAGGCGGCUUGCUGGGCUCGGUCUGACGCUGAGGCGCGAAAGCGUGGGGAGCGAACAGGAUUAGAUACCCUGGUAGUCCACGCCGUAAACGAUGGGCACUAGACGCGGGUGGGAUCGACCCCUUCCGUGUCGCAGCUAACGCGAUAAGUGCCCCGCCUGGGGAGUACGGCCGCAAGGCUG